CCUACGGGAGGCAGCAGUCGAGAAUCAUUCACAAUGGGGGAAACCCUGAUGGUGCGACGCCGCGUGGGGGAAUGAAGGUCUUCGGAUUGUAAACCCCUGUCAUGUGGGAGCAAAUUAAAAAGAUAGUACCAUAAGAGGAAGAGACGGCUAACUCUGCGCCAGCAGCCGCGGUAAUACAGAGGACGCAAGCGUUGUUCGGAAUCACUGGGCGUAAAGUGUGCGUAGGCGGUUUCGUAAGUCGGGUGUGAAAGGCGUGGGCUCAACCCGCGAACGGCACGUGAUACUGUGAGACUAGAGUAAGGGAGGGGGAGCUGGAAUUCUCGGUGUAGCGGUGAAAUGCGUAGAGAUCGAGAGGAACACUCGUGGCGAAGGCGGGUUCCUAGACAUUAACUGACGCUGAGGCACGAAGGCGAGGGGAGCGAAAGGGAUUAGAUACCCUUGUAGUC
This 446-nucleotide ribosomal RNA is filed under the name uncultured bacterium. Its description in RNAcentral is "partial 16S ribosomal RNA". It matches the Rfam family "Bacterial small subunit ribosomal RNA", at positions 338 to 795 of the family's 1533-position model. The record is from RNAcentral.